UACGUAGGGACCAAGCGUUGUUCGGAUUUACUGGGCGUAAAGGGCUCGUAGGCGGUUUGUCGCGUCGGGAGUGAAAACUCAGGGCUUAACCCUGAGCCUGCUUCCGAUACGGGCAGACUAGAGGUAUGCAGGGGAGAACGGAAUUCCUGGUGUAGCGGUGAAAUGCGCAGAUAUCAGGAGGAACACCGGUGGCGAAGGCGGUUCUCUGGGCAUUACCUGACGCUGAGGAGCGAAAGUGUGAGGAGCGAACAGG
Molecule: ribosomal RNA, 253 nt
Filed under: uncultured bacterium
Lineage: Bacteria
Description: partial 16S ribosomal RNA
Rfam family: Bacterial small subunit ribosomal RNA
Source: RNAcentral